UCAUAUUCCUGACUUGGUGCAGGCAUUUUCUAAUGUAGAAAUUGAUGGAUUGAUCCUGGUUUUAAAGCUAGCUAAACCUUCACUUGUACGGAAGUCGCAUCAAAUUCCAUAAUAUUGACAACGGUGCGUGAACGAAACAACAGACAUAUUAGGAAAACAUGUCACAAAUAGGGGUACAGCAGUCAACAUUGUGUUAUAAUCGUUAUCACUAAAAACAAACCAAUAUGUAACACAGAAGCACAAAAUGGUAUCAAGACCAAGCAUAAUAGUAAAAGUCAAAUGACAAGAAUACACAAAUUAACUAUAGUACAAUAACACAUUGACGGGAUGUAUAAGU
Molecule: long non-coding RNA, 337 nt
Filed under: Mytilus galloprovincialis (Mediterranean mussel)
Lineage: Eukaryota; Metazoa; Mollusca; Bivalvia; Mytilida; Mytilidae
Source: RNAcentral